Molecule: ribosomal RNA, 497 nt
Filed under: uncultured bacterium
Lineage: Bacteria
Description: partial 16S ribosomal RNA
Rfam family: Bacterial small subunit ribosomal RNA
Source: RNAcentral
GAUGAACGCUGGCGGCGUGCCUAAUACAUGCAAGUCGAGCGAACAGAUAAGGAGCUUGCUCCUUUGACGUUAGCGGCGGACGGGUGAGUAACACGUGGGUAACCUACCUAUAAGACUGGAAUAACUCCGGGAAACCGGGGCUAAUGCCGGAUAACAUUUAGAACCGCAUGGUUCUAAAGUGAAAGAUGGUUUUGCUAUCACUUAUAGAUGGACCCGCGCCGUAUUAACUAGUUGGUAAGGUAACGGCUUACCAAGGCAACGAUACGUAGCCGACCUGAGAGGGUGAUCGGCCACACUGGAACUGAGACACGGUCCAGACUCCUACGGGAGGCAGCAGUAGGGAAUCUUCCGCAAUGGGCGAAAGCCUGACGGAGCAACGCCGCGUGAGUGAUGAAGGUCUUCGGAUCGUAAAACUCUGUUAUUAGGGAAGAACAAAUGUGUAAGUAACUGUGCACGUCUUGACGGUACCUAAUCAGAAAGCCACGGCUAACUACGUG